RNAcentral lists this ribosomal RNA (790 nucleotides) under uncultured archaeon. Its description in RNAcentral is "bacterial SSU rRNA". It matches the Rfam family "Archaeal small subunit ribosomal RNA", at positions 85 to 878 of the family's 1478-position model. The record is from RNAcentral.
ACUGCUCAGUAACACGUCGAUAACUUGCCCUACGGUCGGGAAUAACCUCGGGAAACUGAGGGUAAUGCCCGAUAGAGAAUUCGGCCUGGAAUGGUGAUUUCUCCAAACACGUGCCGUAGGAUAGGUCGGCGGCUGAUUAGGCUGUUGGUGGGGUAACGGCCCACCAAACCUAAGAUCAGUACGGGCCUUGAGAGAGGUAGCCCGGAGAGGGACACUGAGAUACGGGUCCCAGCCCCACGGGGUGCAGCAGGCGCGAAACCUUUACAAUGCACGAAAGUGUGAUAGGGGGAUACUCAGUGCUUACGAUUAUGUCGUAGGCUUUUGUCAAUCGUAAAUAGAUCGGCGAAUAAGUGGUGGGUAAGACUGGUGCCAGCCGCCGCGGUAACCCCAGCGCCACAAGUGGUCAUCACGAUUAUUGGGCCUAAAGCGUUCGUAGCCGGUUUGGUAAAUCUCUUGUGAAAUUGUUCGGCUUAACCGGACAGCGUGCAGGAGAGACUGCCAGACUCGAGACCGGGAGGCGUAAGAAGUAUGGCAUGGGGACUGGUAAAAUGGGAUAAUCCAUGCUAGACUACCGAUGGCGAAGGCAUCUUACGAGAACGGAUCUGACGGUGAGGAACGAAAGCCAGGGGAGCGAACCGGAUUAGAUACCCGAGUAGUCCUGGCCGUAAACGCUGUGAGCUAGGUGCUGCGUAUCUCAAGAAGAUGCGCGGUGUCGAAAUGAAGAUGCUAAGCUCACCGCCUGGGAAGUACGGUCGCAAGACUGUUACUUUAAGGAAUUGGCGGGGGAGCA